UAUCCUCAAUUAUUCAACGCAUAAUGUGUGCCCAUAUCUUUUCUGGUCUGGUCCAGUUCGCUCCAGUCCAAAAGCCAUCAUAAUCACAAAAUAAAUAAGCCACCAGUUUUUCACCUGUCACUAAUUCCUACGAUUCUCUCUCGGUCUCUACCCCCGUCAACCUUUCACUGUUAUUUCUUCCACGGACAGAAAUAAUGGCUUUAGAGAUCUGUGUCAAAGCUAUUGUUGGUGCCCCUAAUAUUCUCGGAUAUUGCCUAAUUUGCCAGAGAAUUCUAUCGAGUCUGGAAGAGAAGAAAAUUCCAUACAAGUCUCAUCUCAUCAAUCUGGGUGAUAAACUUCGUGGUUUUUGGAGAUAAGCCCGGAAGGAAAGGUCCUAGUGGUGAAAAUUGAUGACAAAUGGGUUGCAGAUUCUAACGUCAUUGCUGGUAUUUUAGAGGAGA
This is a long non-coding RNA of Populus euphratica (Euphrates poplar), 440 nucleotides long. RefSeq lists it as uncharacterized. The record is from RefSeq and is a predicted model, not a curated record. NCBI's taxonomy places the organism in Eukaryota, Viridiplantae, Streptophyta, Magnoliopsida, Malpighiales, Salicaceae. The transcript is spliced from 3 exons.